Molecule: long non-coding RNA, 976 nt
Organism: Suricata suricatta (meerkat)
Lineage: Eukaryota; Metazoa; Chordata; Mammalia; Carnivora; Herpestidae
Exons: 3
Source: RefSeq, a predicted model, not a curated record
CGCACUGCCUCUCAAGCCCCUUGUCUGCCCUUCUCGGGAGCCGGUGAGGUGCUGGAAGGGCCACGUGACCCGAGGGAGCGAGGUGACCGGGAGCACCGUCCGCCUGCGGACCGCAGCCCACGCGGUGACAGAUUGGGGCCCACAUGGGUGACGGAGAUCCCGGGUGAGAGUCUGGGCAGAGUGAAACUGCAGCUAAGGGGGUCCCUGUGCCUCAUCCCGUCACCAUCUGGACGGGGGCCGUCAAGAAGUAACUAGGAGCACAUGAGGCCCUGUGGGUGACCCCUAACCCCAUCCGACCCGUGCCCUCAGACGAAGACAUUUGGACACACGCCGAGUGCCAGCCCUGGAGGAGGUCAGCCAGAGGCCGUGACCGCCCAUGGACCUGAGGGCGGGGCCUGUCCCUGGAAGGUGCGCUCUGCCAGCCCCUCCCACAGUGGGCGCUGUUCCAGGGACGCAGCCUUGUCAGAGGAAGCUGGCCUUGAGACCCUGGACCCAGAAGAGGCCUCCACACAAACUGGGAAGAGUGACAGCCCAGGGCUCUUAAGCAAGAGUGACGCUGACGCCUGCUCCAGUGCUGGGAAGACUAUUCACGAUGCUCCAGCAGCUACAGGACACUCCUGGCACCUCUCCUGAGCCACACCGCCUUCAGUCCCCAGCUCUCCAGCUUGGGCGUCCCUGUCCUCAGCCCUGGAGGGGACACCGCGGGCCUCCCACAGGGCUCCUGAUGUGCGUCUCUGCGGGUUCUCCGGACCUGCAAGAGCCCUUUCCCCCUGGGAGUUCGGCGGAGGCGGCGGAGGCGGGGGCUUUGCUGGACUCUCACCGUGGGGGAGGGGCUCAGUCCGGCAGCCCCUCGUCCCUCCCCAAGCAGAGGACACACUGACGCCCCCUCCGGGGGUUCUGCGGGGGAGGAGAGCAGAGCUGGGCCUGGCACAGAGAGUGACCCGGCAGACAGGGUGCCCGGCCAUCCCGCGCUGGC